UCCAUUUUAGGUGAAAUAUAUUAGAUAUUAUGUUAAGGCAAAUACUUGAAUAAGAAUAAAAUGAAGAUCACAUAAUUAUGGUUGCACAAAUAAUUUAAGCGUGUGGAACCAUAUCUUCCAUCUUUAUAAAUUAUGAACUCAUCCAAGCCUAAUUCACUAACCCUAAUUCACCCAAACCUAAUACCAAACCUAAUAACCCAUUUUUCCAAACCUUUUUCCAAACCUAAUACCAAACCUAAUUCUAACCCUAUAAUACAAAACUUAAUUCUAACCCUACUCACAAUAUACUCCUCUUUUCUAAAAACUAACCCUAUAAUACAAAACCUAAUUCUAACCCUACUCACAAUAUACUCCUCUUUUCUAAAAAUUCUAUUUAUCAGAAGACCUGCAAAUUUCACUGUAUCAGAAGACCUGCAAAUUCCUCUCAUUAAUACUCAAACCCAUGCAAUCUUCCAUGCAACAUUCCAUCUGUCCAACAUGCACUUCUUAAAUGUAUCCAUGUUUCUCUAUAAAUACCACCAAUUUACUCAUCUACCUAUCAUCAACAAAUCAACAAAUUUCUCUUGACACAAAAAUGGCUAUAUGCAGGCCAUGUUUCUCUAUAAAUCCUCCAUAAAAAAUUCAUCUAUAUUUUCAUGUAUCUUCUUCACCAGAGAACAAAAAUCCCUACAUCUCUUCAUCUCACCUUUUUUUCUCUAAUAUCUGGUAUGGAAUUAAAACCUUUCUCCCUCAAUCCUUGAUGGAUUGCAACCACACCCAAGCAAUUUCUUCCCCCUCUCAGUUACAUUUUUCAUAUUAUUUUCAAAGCUAUGAAUUUGAUUUAUGGUGGAAGAUGCUAAAUAUAUGUUAUAGACAUUUUUGUGUUGAUGGAAGUAGAGGAGUGGAAGUAGACAUUUUUGUUGCAUCUAAGUUGAUAGGAGUUUGGUACUCUCUAAACUGAAAGAUUUAUAAUCUCUGCUGCCCACAUCUUUAUUUAUCACAACUCAAAGGAACAAAUUUUUCUCAUGUUAGUUGGUAGUUGUGUAUAAAACACGAGUAAAGAAGUUUUUGAAGAUACAGGUACUUCCAUCAUAUUCUCCAUGUUUGUUUUACUUUUAUGUUUUCUUUUUCAUUCAUCUUAUGCAACUAUUAUGAUUUUUUUUUUAUAUGGUUUCAAUUAUUAUUAUUAUUGUCCCAAUUGAUUAAUGAAUGAAUGACAGGGGUAUUUACAACUGAGAUUGAUUAAUGAAUGUGGAACCAAACAUUCUCAUCAAGCAAUCUAAACCAAACAAUAACAAUAUAUAUUUUGUUGUCUUUGUAGCUGGAAAAAAUUUUGUUCUGAAAAAAAAAGUGUAAUGCUAUUUUGUAGGGAUAAUUAUUAACAAAAAUAUUUCAUGGAAAGCAAUCAAAGUGCAUGCAACUACUAGCAUCAAAUAUCUUAUGGAGACCAAAAUUUUAAUUUUUUUUUCAUAAAAUAUUUGUUGUCUUUCCAGCUAAAAAGUUUUAUUAUAUUUAUUCCCAUUCAAUUUAAUAAAGCAACAAGUUGACAUUGUUCCUUUUGUUCUCAGGAGAAGAAUUUUUGAAGAUACAGGUACUUCCAUCAUAUUUUCCAUGUUUGUUUGUUUACUUUUGUGUUUUGUUUUGUUUUACGGCAUUUCAUGUAGAAAACUCAUCUUAUGCAACUAUUAUAUAUGAUUUUUUUUUUUUUUAUAUGGUUUCAAUUAUUAUUAUUGUCCCUGAUUCAAAAAAAAAAAAUAUUAUUAUUGUCCCAAUAAAACAAAACAAAACCUUAAUUUGGUUUGUGUUGAUUAAUGAAUGGCGGGGUGUUUACAACAUAGAUAAAUGCAGAAUAAGGGAUGUGGAACCAAACAUUCUCAUCAAGAAGCUUGCAACCUAAACCAAACAAUAACAAUAUAUUUUGUAUUUUGCUGUCUUUGUAGCUAAGUAAAAAAAAAAACGUAUUUGUAGGGAUAAUUAUUCCUAAUUAUACUAAACAUUCCUAUUUUUACUCUCUCUUAUUUAAUCCAUUUGUUUUCCUUCGCUCUCUCUAACUAAGCAAAAAAAAAAAAAAGUGCAUUCAAUGCUAUUUUGUAGGAAAUUAUUCCUAAUUUUACUCAACACUCCUAUUAAACACUAAUUUAGUUCUUAACUCUAAUUUAAUUGGGUAGAAUUUAUUGUCGUAUUUGUUGGAGGAAUUUGAAUUUCUAAUAGUAU
This is a long non-coding RNA of Trifolium pratense (red clover), 2193 nucleotides long. RefSeq lists it as uncharacterized. The transcript is spliced from 3 exons. NCBI's taxonomy places the organism in Eukaryota, Viridiplantae, Streptophyta, Magnoliopsida, Fabales, Fabaceae. The record is from RefSeq and is a predicted model, not a curated record.